GUAGGUGGCAAGCGUUGUCCGGAGUUAUUGGGCGUAAAGCGCGCGCAGGCGGUUCUUUAAGUCUGAUGUGAAAGCCCACGGCUCAACCGUGGAGGGUCAUUGGAAACUGGAGAACUUGAGUACAGAAGAGGAAAGCGGAAUUCCACGUGUAGCGGUGAAAUGCGUAGAGAUGUGGAGGAACACCAGUGGCGAAGGCGGCUUUCUGGUCUGUAACUGACGCUGAGGCGCGAAAGCGUGGGGAGCAAACAGGAUUAGAUACCCUGGUAGUCCACGCCGUAAACGAUGAGUGCUAAGUGUUAGGGGGGUUUCCGCCCCCCUUAGUGCUGCAGCUAACGCAUUAAGCACUCCGCCUGGGAGUACGGCCGCAAGGCUG
Molecule: ribosomal RNA, 373 nt
Filed under: uncultured organism
Description: partial 16S ribosomal RNA
Rfam family: Bacterial small subunit ribosomal RNA
Source: RNAcentral